Molecule: ribosomal RNA, 453 nt
Filed under: uncultured fungus
Lineage: Eukaryota; Fungi
Description: eukaryotic LSU rRNA
Rfam family: 5.8S ribosomal RNA (bases 146-299)
Source: RNAcentral
CAUUACAGAAAGUAAACGCGGAUCAAACCGCGAACUUCUAAACCUUUGACGAUUGACUCAUGUUGCCUCGGCGGGUCCUCCCGCCAGAGGAUACAUCAAAACUCCUGUUUUAACGGUGUUGUCUGAGCUACAAGCAACGAAUCAAAACUUUCAACAACGGAUCUCUUGGUUCUGGCAUCGAUGAAGAACGCAGCGAAAUGCGAUAAGUAGUGUGAAUUGCAGAAUUCAGUGAAUCAUCGAAUCUUUGAACGCACAUUGCGCCCCUUGGUAUCCCGAGGGGCAUGCCUGUUCGAGCGUCAUUUCACCACUCAAGCCUGGCUUGGUGUUGGGCGACGUCCCCUUUGGGGACGCGCCUCGAAACGCUCGGCGGCGUGGCACCGGCUUUAAGCGUAGCAGAAUCUUUCGCUUUAAAGGUCGGGGCCCCGUCUGCCGGAAGACCUACUCGCAAGGUUG